RNAcentral lists this ribosomal RNA (530 nucleotides) under Micrococcus sp. CMT74. RNAcentral describes it as "bacterial SSU rRNA". It matches the Rfam family "Bacterial small subunit ribosomal RNA", at positions 338 to 878 of the family's 1533-position model. Lineage: Bacteria; Bacillati; Actinomycetota; Actinomycetes; Micrococcales; Micrococcaceae. The record is from RNAcentral.
CCUACGGGAGGCAGCAGUGGGGAAUAUUGCACAAUGGGCGAAAGCCUGAUGCAGCGACGCCGCGUGAGGGAUGACGGCCUUCGGGUUGUAAACCUCUUUCAGUAGGGAAGAAGCGAAAGUGACGGUACCUGCAGAAGAAGCACCGGCUAACUACGUGCCAGCAGCCGCGGUAAUACGUAGGGUGCGAGCGUUAUCCGGAAUUAUUGGGCGUAAAGAGCUCGUAGGCGGUUUGUCGCGUCUGUCGUGAAAGUCCGGGGCUUAACCCCGGAUCUGCGGUGGGUACGGGCAGACUAGAGUGCAGUAGGGGAGACUGGAAUUCCUGGUGUAGCGGUGGAAUGCGCAGAUAUCAGGAGGAACACCGAUGGCGAAGGCAGGUCUCUGGGCUGUAACUGACGCUGAGGAGCGAAAGCAUGGGGAGCGAACAGGAUUAGAUACCCUGGUAGUCCAUGCCGUAAACGUUGGGCACUAGGUGUGGGGACCAUUCCACGGUUUCCGCGCCGCAGCUAACGCAUUAAGUGCCCCGCCUGGGG